GAUGAACGCUGGCGGCGUGCCUAAUACAUGCAAGUCGAGCGAACGGACGAGAAGCUUGCUUUUCUGAUGUUAGCGGCGGACGGGUGAGUAACACGUGGAUAACCUACCUAUAAGACUGGGAUAACUUCGGGAAACCGGAGCUAAUACCGGAUAAUAUUUGAACCGCAUGGUUCAAAAGUGAAAGACGGUCUUGCUGUCACUUAUAGAUGGAUCCGCGCUGCAUUAGCUAGUUGGUAAGGUAACGGCUUACCAAGGCAACGAUGCAUAGCCGACCUGAGAGGGUGAGCGGCCACACUGGAACUGAGACACGGUCCAGACUCCUACGGGAGGCAGCAGUAGGGAAUCUUCCGCAAUGGGCGAAAGCCUGACGGAGCAACGCCGCGUGAGUGAUGAAGGUCUUCGGAUCGUAAAACUCUGUUAUUAGGGAAGAACAUAUGUGUAAGUAACUGUGCACAUCUUGACGGUACCUAAUCAGAAAGCCACGGCUAACUACGUG
This 496-nucleotide ribosomal RNA is filed under the name uncultured bacterium. RNAcentral describes it as "partial 16S ribosomal RNA". It matches the Rfam family "Bacterial small subunit ribosomal RNA", at positions 28 to 507 of the family's 1533-position model. The record is from RNAcentral.